RNAcentral lists this microRNA precursor (82 nucleotides) under Chlorocebus sabaeus (green monkey). Its description in RNAcentral is "mir-3660 microRNA precursor family". It matches the Rfam family "mir-3660 microRNA precursor family". Lineage: Eukaryota; Metazoa; Chordata; Mammalia; Primates; Cercopithecidae. The record is from Rfam by way of RNAcentral.
ACUGGACAAAAUUAAAAUGCUCUUCUGUCAUUGUAAUAGUUCAUAUGGGCUCUGACAGGAGGGCAUUUUAACUUUGUCAAGU